UCGUUGGUCCUGUGCGAUGCGGCCCGUGAACCCCGUCAGGUCCGGAAGGAAGCAGCGGUAAGCGGCCACCCGCAGGUGCCGCAGGGAAACCUGCGACGG
Molecule: signal recognition particle RNA, 99 nt
Filed under: Clostridiaceae bacterium
Lineage: Bacteria; Bacillati; Bacillota; Clostridia; Eubacteriales; Clostridiaceae
Also listed under: 1 other name
Description: signal recognition particle sRNA small type
Rfam family: Bacterial small signal recognition particle RNA
About the family: The signal recognition particle (SRP) is a universally conserved ribonucleoprotein involved in the co-translational targeting of proteins to membranes. Archaeal SRP consists of a 7S RNA and homologues of the eukaryotic SRP19 and SRP54 proteins.
Source: RNAcentral